RNAcentral lists this long non-coding RNA (478 nucleotides) under Rattus norvegicus (Norway rat). Its description in RNAcentral is "long non-coding RNA NONRATT028245". Lineage: Eukaryota; Metazoa; Chordata; Mammalia; Rodentia; Muridae. The record is from RNAcentral.
GUGACCUGGAUUUUAUCUUAGAAGCUCAUGAGGCAUGGGACAGUUUCCAUAGAAAUACAUUAAUUAUGCCACAUACUCUAGGACUGACCUAUGUGACCCAUGCGAUACUUCAGAACUGACGUGGCUCCCUGGAGGCAGAGAAUGUGACUUCUGUCCCACCCUCCAUUGCUGUACUAUGAGAUAUACACAUCAAACAUGUCUUCCCCAACUCCAUCAGUUCUUUGUGCCACAUGCCGGGAGCCAAGCCCACGUACACACCCUCUGUCUCAAGAAUGUUUCAGGAAUGUCAAGCCCUCUUACGCCCUCUGAGACACCUACCCAGUUAUCUGUUCUUAUCAAUAUACCUGCAAUGUAUGGUUUUAGGGCUUUAGGGAGGGUGGUGACGGUAGUGAAAUUGACCCUGGGCCCUGCGUGGCCUUCCCGCCUGCUUGUCUUUAUAAACCACUGUAUCAAAAUAAAAUUUGAGAGCUUGAUCAGA